Molecule: long non-coding RNA, 3899 nt
Filed under: Mus musculus (house mouse)
Lineage: Eukaryota; Metazoa; Chordata; Mammalia; Rodentia; Muridae
Description: long non-coding RNA chr13:88884077-88887976
Source: RNAcentral
GUUACUUUUAGUCUCUGGCUAUCACAAAGUUACUCUGAAUAUAGUUGAGCAAGAAUUCCUGUGGUAUAGGGGAGCAUCUUUUCGGUGUAUGCCAAGGAGUGGUGUAGCUGUGUCUCGGGGUAGAACAAUUUCCAAUUCUCUGAGAAGACAACAAAUUGGUUUCCAAAGUGGUUGUCCAAGUUUUUACCCCAACAACAAUUGAAGAGUGUUACCCUUUCCCCAUAGUCCCACCAGCAUGAGCUGUCACUUGAGGUUUUGAUCUUAGCCAUUAACACUUCCAAGCCAAUCAGCUCUGAUCAAAAUUAUCUAAAUCUCAAGUACUUCAGCUGAGUUGUAAUUAUUUGAUGAUUUCUCUGUUUUGACCUAGUGAAUAGCUGGUAGAAUUAUACAGCUUUAACAGUGACAAAAUUCUUGUGUUAGGUCACAUAUAAAAAUUUUAAAGUUAUGUAUAUUAUAAACAUUCAGCUGUAGAGUAGGGUUGAGACAUUUUUAUUAAUCAUUUAAAAAUGUAGUGGUUCAGCAGAUUAACAGGGCAUAGAAAAGAUCACAUUUUUUUUUACAGUCAUCAACAUAUAUUCUGUCAAAAUAGAAAGUAAAUGAAUUUUAAAAAAAUUUCCACUCAACAUUUAAGAAUAUCACAUUGCACUUCCUAUUACCUGCUCCUAACAACUAAGGUACAAAAAAUAAAAUGAAAAUAUAUUUAGAUUUAAGUGUACUUUUAAACAACUAAGACUGAUGAGAUUAGCAUAAUAAUUUUUAAAUGAAUUCCUUGGUCCUUGGGAUUCAUUCUUCUAAAAGAUUCAACAGGCAUAGAUGUCUAUUACAUUAGGAGGUCAUUUUAACGUGUAUUAUCUUUAAGACCCUGCAAAAAAUUUAUAUGCUAUAAAGUCUUAUUUGAGAGGUGUUAGGUAAAUUCUAUUAUGUGUAUUUAAAAAUGUUUUGUCUUAUAGAAUAGAAAAGCUAUUGGAAAGGAUUAAAUGAUGACAAUUUACCUUCAGAAUGUUUGGAAGAAAGAUUGCUGUUUGUUCCUGCAAAGGAAAAUUGCAGCUAUAAUUUUAGUGAGGUGAAUUUUAUUAAAUUUAAGAAAUGUUUUAGGUUACAUUUCUGUACAUUCGAAUUGAUGUAAGAAUUCCCAAAAUCCCAUAGUAGGCUUCUCUUCAUAUACUUUCAUUAAUACUAUUGUAAAGAGCUAAAUUAACUGCAGAAUAAUAAAAAUAAAGCAGAUAAUCUAACGUUCACUGGAGUCUGGCAGCUGAUUCACCAUUGUGAUGGGUGGAUAAGAGUGGAGCCGCGUGCUUUCCUGCCCACUCUCCACUUAAGGAGCAUUUCAUAUUACAUGUCAACUUUGAAUUCCCAGCCAAUUCUCACUUCGAUCAGCUUCACUUACCUUGAUUUUUGUUGACAAAAUGGUAAUUUCCCUAUAUUCUCUAUCUGAACUUUUACUGCACAAACCUGUUCUAAGUAUUACAUUCAAAAUUAAAUAUGAUCUAGAAGUCUUAAGAAAUACAGGUGUCUUGCUUAUGGAAGCAAGUCUAAGUCAAUUAGUGCUGGUAUCGCUUUGACAUCAUACGUCUUAGGAACUAACUAAUGUAUAAUUAUAUCUUACAAAAUGUUUUAGGAAAUCUAUUUUACUUUUUAUAGUUACUAUUUAGUCUCAUAACUAUGUUGUCUCCUCAUUAGAUAUUAUUUAAAAUGCAAAGAAAAACAAAUUGAAUGUUAGAACAAUUGGGUGACUAGCCUAAGAUUAAUACUACUAGUUCAAUGAAGCCAUAGCAUUUUAUACAAGAUUUAUUUAUUGCUGGAAGACUCUUAGUAUUUUGAAGCAAGCUGCGUCUGUAUUGAAUGAAUAAGACAUAUAGUAAAAUCCAUUUUAUGCUGUCAAAAUCUUCAUAAAAAUAGAUAUUGUUUAUAUAAGUGUAUACAUGUAUUAAUUACAUUCUACAUCUAGGAAUAUGAAAAUAAAGCGGUACAUUUGAGUAAAAAUUGGUAUGUUCUUUUUUCUUUCUUCCUUUUUUUUUCAAGACAGGGUUUCUCUGUGUAGUUCUGGCUGUCCUGGAACUCACUCUGUAGACCAGGCUGGCCUCGAACCCAGAAAUCCACCUGCCUCUGCCUCCCAAGUGCUAGGAUUAAAGGCGUGCGCCACCAUGCCUGGCUGGUAUGUUAUUUUAACCUGACCGAUAAAGCUGUAAUGUUUAUUUGAGGGUAUAUGUAUUGGCAUAAAAUACAUAACUGGGUGUUUUUGUAACAGUAAUCUUUAGAGACAGAAGUAGGGGGCUCAAGCCUUUGAUUUAUAGCAAGUUUGACCUGGGCAAAUGGGAUCCUGAUUCAAAAUACACAUGAAUACACACAUAGAAUGAAUGGCUGUUCUAGUAUGUCCCACUUGAUUUUCAUUGUAAAUUUGAACUUUUGGUGGUAUGAAAUACAUCUGAAUCCUGCAAUGAAAAUAAAGCCUUUAUGGCUGAAGAGAUGAAGCAGCACUAAAACCACAAAUGCUCUUGUACAGGACCUGAGUUUGAUUCCGACCAAUUGCAUCAGGGGAUGUUUAAGUGCCUAUACCUCCUACUCCAGGGGCAUCAGAUACCUCUGGCCUCUGUGGGGACCUGCAUUAAGGUACACAUACCUAAACCAGAAUAUGUACAUAUGCUUAACGAAAAGCAAAUCUUUUAAAAUCACACCUCUUUGGGCUAAUUUAAAUAAGGAAUGGACUGCCACUUAAAAAACUUCUAAGAGUUGUUAAAAGUUAUUUUUUUUUCUUUCAAUAUAUGUUCAUUUAAAUUUUUGAAUGUUAUAUUGACCAUUACUUUAAAUUUCAGGCUCCUUUCUCCUUACAGGAUAUCCCAGGCUUGUUGGCAUUUGGCAUUGGUUUGUUGAUUAAAGUACAUCAUAACUUAGAAAGAUGAGUACUCUGAUAUAUUAUGUUGUACAAAGCUGACAAAGGUAGAAUGGCUUAACAAUACUUAUCCAAUGCAAGUGUAGAAACACUGAAGAGAAGGUGUAUAUAAUAGGUAAUGGUCCACUUUGUAGAAAGCCAUUUGGGAUUGCUUACUUCAAUCAAUGUAACUAGAUAUAUACAUGAACUAAAACAAACCAUUUAGACAUUCAUGGAUUCUAAAAAAAAAUGUGCAUAAAGAAACCAUUCAUAAUGUGAGAACUGAAAACAAUCAAAUUCCUAUAAGAUGUAGAAAGAAUAACCUAAAUAAAAUUAUCAUCAGAAACCCAUGGAACUGAAAAAAUAAAACUAUUUCAAUGGCAUGAUAUAGAUGAAUUUUAAACAUAUAAUUUUGAGUGAAAGACAGUAAAAAUGCAUACCACAGAUAUGAAACCCAGUCAUUGACAGAAUGAGGGCACAAGAGAGCAAGCUGGGUGUUGAAAAUAAUUUGUACUGAACAGGGAGAUUCUGAGGACAGUCCUAUAAAGCACAACUUUUCCACAAUGGGUACAAAUUUUUGCAUGUAAAUUAUAACUCCAGCAAAGUACAGUGUGUAUGAAUAUGUCCAUGUUUGUCAACUUACAGAUUUUUUCUAAAGGAUAAAGAUUCUGGAGAAAAUAAACUUAGAAGAAGGUAACUAUUUGUAUGAUGGAAAGGACAACAAAGUGGCCUCAAAGGAUUUUGAAUUAGUACUCCACAUGGUUAUGUGGCUUACAAGAGUGUGGCCCAAGGAAAUGGGAUUUUGAUUGUUGAUAACUGUUUAUAUAAUGCACUUGAAAUAUUGAUAUUUAAAAUUAUCUUAUUUAUAAAUUCAUAUUUUUAAUUUUAGGGAAAUUUUAUGAACUAUCUUAUUUGGUGAAAUGUAAAAAUUUUUUUUUAUUUAAGAUAAGUAUGUCAAAGUAAUUAUUGACUUUGAGUUUUAUCACAAUAUUCCUUAAAACCACGAGCUAGAGAGGAGUAUUUUGCAUGA